UCCUGCGGGCAGAGAGCAGGACUUGCAGCGGCAGCCAGCUUCUCAGCUAGGUGGCCCAGGGGGCCCCCACUCCUCUAGGACUAGGAGUGGCCACUGCAUGGUCCUCACCCAGGGCUGAAGUUAGGCUCCCGUUUGCCUCGUGUCUAAACUGUAUGCUGCAAACUGUUCUCAUUGUCCAAUUAGCCAGCAGGGCAGAGGGCUUCUGCAUUUCCAUGGCCCCUCAGUGUCCUUAUGGCAAGUGACAGGAGGUACCCUCCUCAUGGUCUGACCCCAGGAUACAAAUCUCCUGGCUCUCACCCCUGGGCCUCAGCACUUGCCCCCAAGGUUGACAACAAUGAUUCUGUUGGUCUGCUUCUAGAAGCUGCCCAUGGUUCCUCCGAGUGGUGCUAAUUAACUCAUCCCCAGGGUAUCCCAGCCAGGAUCUCCCCCUGAAUCCCUUUUGCCAAAAAAUAACGAAGCUAGCCAAUUUGGCCAUUGGCAAGGUAGUGACAGAAUACGGAAGAAAGCAAAAGCCCUGUUUUUUAAACUGGUCUCUCUCUCCCCAAGUGCGGUUCCAGAUAUCUCCUCUCUAAAACCAGAGGCUGCUCCUGGGAGACAUGAACCAACUAGACCUGGGAUGAGGGGGCCAAAGGCAAUAUUUUAAGAGGAAACUGCUCCUUUUACUCAUGGCUGUCCCACUGCCCUUUUGGGGAACAACGAAGGUCCUCUGCUGGCUUGAGGCUUCUUCAGUAGAACUGGGAGUUACCUCGGCUUUAGGCCCAAUGAAGAUGUCACCUUCAAGGGCUCCGGCCAUGACGCGAACGUGUUUGGGUCUGCCCACACUAAAAAAGAGAGCAGGAGGACCAUUACUUUUCAUUUCACGACAGAACACGGAAGGCUGUACAGAUGUGCAUGCUUGGAUGGGAAGAAACAGACCCAGUUCUACUGUCAUUCUCUCUCAGGAGUGAGGUUAAAGUUCAUUUUGAUUUUCAUCUACUUUUUUGCAUUGCCCGCGAUUUCUACAAUGAACAUGUAUUAUUUUAAGUUAUUUGUAUAUUUCUGACCCAAAUCAGAGAUCCUUCUCUGUAAAAGGUGGAGGGCUGACCCCAAAACAAAGCUGACAAGCCUCCCCAGCUUCCGACUAUGCUACAGAAUUACUUACUAGUUUGGAAAGCAGUAUUUGGGAAUCUGAUCACCAGCAAAACCAGCUUUAAUCACACCAGAUCCCUGAGGAGAGAGGAGAAAGAAAGAGAAGUCAGAAGUAUGACAAAAAUAAGAGAUAUAUAUCAUAUAGUAUGCAUAGUAUGGUUUCACUUUUAUUUAAAAGAGACCUUAUAUCUGGAUAUAAUAUGUCCAUUUGCAUGAACAUCUGUAGAGGGUACACAUGCCUCCAGGAGGGAAGUGGGACUUCCCUCCUGUAUACUUUCACUGUAUACUCAAAGUAUUACUUGAUUUUUUGGCAUUCUUUGAACUUUCUUUUCUUUUCUUUUUUAAAAGAUUUUAUUUAUUUAUUUGACAGAGAGAGACACAGCGAUAUUGGGAACACAAGUAGGGGGCGUGGAAGAGGGAGAAGCAGGCUUCCGGAAUAAUAGGGAGCCAGAUGCAGGGCUCGAUCCCAGAACCCUGGGAUCAUGACCUGAGCUGAAGGCAGAUGCUUAACUGAGGAGCCACCCUGGUGCCUCUUCUUUGACUUUUCUACAUUGACCAUGCUUUCCUUCUGGAAUCAAAAAUAAUACUAAUAAAGAGAAGAAAAAGAGAAAACCCGAGGGAAGAGAAAAGUACCUAGAAUCACCAAAGCAGCCAAGUUCAUGAACAUAACCAGGGUGGGAAAAAUGUGAUUCUUUCUGUUAAACCACAUGGGACACUGUUGACCUACUUUCCCAACUCAGGCCUGAACUCUCUCUGCCCUCCAGGGUGUCUAGGACAGACACCACCGUGAACACCACCAGGCUUGAAGCUGACUCUGAUGGAACAUAUAUUGUCUGGUCUCCUGCUGGUAAAGAGCAGGGAAGUUCUAAAGCAUCACCCAACAAGAGACCCAACAUUACAAUCCUGAUGCUUCAAUCCUUGGUAAAUUGGGUGGGUGUCAGAAGAGAAUGUGACUUCUCUGUCAACAUCUCUGGUACCACCUAGGCCCAACCAAAGUAAAUGUCUCUAGCCAUGA
Molecule: long non-coding RNA, 2143 nt
Organism: Mustela lutreola (European mink)
Lineage: Eukaryota; Metazoa; Chordata; Mammalia; Carnivora; Mustelidae
Exons: 2
Source: RefSeq, a predicted model, not a curated record